Molecule: long non-coding RNA, 653 nt
Filed under: Nicotiana benthamiana
Lineage: Eukaryota; Viridiplantae; Streptophyta; Magnoliopsida; Solanales; Solanaceae
Description: long non-coding RNA (NBEN_LNC007694)
Source: RNAcentral
UUCUAUCCUCAGUCCAAUAUCCAACAAUAUUCAAUGCUUGGAUGAACCGUGUAUAAACAUAAGAAUGGAACAAUACACAAAAACACACUUUUAUUUUAUAGAAGAAGAUAUUAUUCAAAAUAUAAACAACAUCACAUAAUUGAACAAUAGCCAAAACUGAAGCAUUUGAAUCAUCACACGAGAGUAAUGAAGGGAAACAAUCGAGGAAGAAAACCUUGAAUCGAGUAAUGAACUUUUCAGAAGAACUAAGGAAAAAUUACUACACAUUUUCAGCGUAAUAGAGCAUCCAACAACAAUUGCAUCAUUCAAAAUAGAGAUUCAUACCUGAAACAUAACUAAAAAUUGAAAAGAAAAACUAGAGCAAAGGCAAAACCGCCACCAGAUCUCGAAUGGAAAACCUCAACGAGACUCAAGAUUGACUGAAAAUUUGUGUUCAGGUGUUGUUUGGACUGAGAAUCGCUGAAAAUACACUAGCUAACGAAAAUAUCUAAUCUAUCGUCUACGAGAUAGAAUCUAAAACCAAAGAUAAAUUAGAAGAAUAGUAGCUCCCUUUCUCUUUUUUUUGUGAGUGUGUGUGCAUUGUGUGUUGUUGGUUGCCAAACCUUAGGAUGUUAGGUCUUUUGCUUUUUGAAGGAAGAAGAAGAAAUUUUNNN